UCGGACCAGACCACAUCAUAAAUAUGGAUGAAGUUCCUUUUAUUGCGACAAUGAAAAAAAAUCUAAAAAAAACAUUUGUUUAAAUUAAACUUACAAAAUAUUUCUGUGUAACAUGUUUCUGUAAAUCACAAUAUAACAGUAUCUCUAACAGUAUCUCAUGUUACAACGUGGACACCUGCAGCCUACACACAGGUGCGGCCUUAAAAGUGCUGGGUUAUUUCUGUAAACACAUUUAGGGGUUAUUUGUGGCAGGUAACAGUUCCGGGUUGUUUGAUGAACUGUAAGCAUAACAUAACAUGUUGGGUUGUUCAACUCCUACAGUAUUUGGGUUAAUGUGACCCAGCGUAUGGGUCAAAUAUUUUCCCGCGCUUCCAUCUUUCUAGAACUUUCGACAGACAUUUUUUGACUCCUGCGGUUAGAAGCAGUAACUGGACAGCACACAGAGCAAUAGAACAGAGUUGAUGCGGAUGAACUACUUUGAUGGACAUUGACUGAGUGGCUGCUGGACACUUGGUAGAGACAGUUAAAGGUACCUGACCGAUGGAUUCAACCAGUCCUACAAAAUCUGGGCCUCAAGGACGAAACAACAACUUCCCAGGGUUUCUGCAUUUAUGACUGAAUCAUUGCUGGAAGCUGUUUUUAAAGGAUCUUUUGGUUUUUGAAGUGAACUACAGUAAACAAGGAACUGCUGGGGUGUUAGGGAGGUAUUUUAAUUAAAGUUGUACUUUAUUAAUUUCAUGUACUGUAUUUAGAUUUUGAAGCAAAUAAUUUAAAUUAAGUAUUUGUGCAAAUGAAAUUAAAUACUCAGAUUGACUUACUUUCUUGGUAUUGUGUUGUCUGUUGUUGCAAUGUUGAGUAUUAUUAUUAUUAUUAUUGACUGUUAUUAGAUUUGUAUAUUUUUGAUUUGGUUUACGGCAUAGGCAAGCCUGUUUUUGGAGGGUUUUAUUCAUUCUUGUUCUGGUUCUGUUCAUUGGCAACUGGACUUUCUAUUUCUUUUUGAUUUGAAAUAUGUCAUUUUUCAUUCAAGUCCUCCAGACUUGAUGAAGUCUAUUGUUUGAAUAGUUACAUGUCUUCAAGAAGAAAUAGAAAGUCCAGUUGCCAAUGAACAGAACAUUUGGGGUGUAGGUAAUGACAUAGCAUAUGGGUAAUAUUUAACCCAGCUAUAUGGUUAAUUUUGCGUCAUCAAAUGGCUCAGAUCCUUCCUACCUGCUGCUGUCAGACUGUAUAAUCAGAACUGUUGAUCACGUCCCACUACAGUCACUCACCCACUGCAUCAGUGGUUUAUAUAGCAACCUGCUCUGCACAAUAUUUGUGUAAAUCUGUGAACAAUCAUGUAUAUUGUUACCGGUAAAAAUCUUAUACCCAUUACUGUGCAAUAACCCUGCAAUGACC
This is a long non-coding RNA of Betta splendens (Siamese fighting fish), 1392 nucleotides long. RefSeq lists it as uncharacterized. The transcript is spliced from 3 exons. Lineage: Eukaryota; Metazoa; Chordata; Actinopteri; Anabantiformes; Osphronemidae. The record is from RefSeq and is a predicted model, not a curated record.